GCUUCCGUAGCUCAGUUGGUCAGAGCGUCCGCCUGUCGAGCGGAGGGCCGCCGGUUCGAGUCCGGUCGGAAGCG
Molecule: transfer RNA, 74 nt
Filed under: Streptomyces sp. ISL-12
Lineage: Bacteria; Bacillati; Actinomycetota; Actinomycetes; Kitasatosporales; Streptomycetaceae
Also listed under: 1 other name
Rfam family: tRNA
About the family: Transfer RNA (tRNA) molecules are approximately 80 nucleotides in length. Their secondary structure includes four short double-helical elements and three loops (D, anti-codon, and T loops).
Source: Rfam by way of RNAcentral